RNAcentral lists this ribosomal RNA (265 nucleotides) under uncultured bacterium. RNAcentral's name for it is "partial 16S ribosomal RNA". It matches the Rfam family "Bacterial small subunit ribosomal RNA", at positions 88 to 354 of the family's 1533-position model. The record is from RNAcentral.
CCGGCGACCGGCGGACGGGCGCGUAACGCGUAUGUAACCUACCUUUGACAGGGGGAUAACAUCGAGAAAUUGGUACUAAUACCCCAUAACAUCACCGGAGGCAUCUUCGGUGGUUGAAAACUCAGGUGGUCAGAGAUGGACAUGCGUUGUAUUAGCUAGUUGGUGAGGUAACGGCUCACCAAGGCGACGAUACAUAGGGGGACUGAGAGGUCAACCCCCCACAUUGGUACUGAGACACGGACCAAACUCCUACGGGAGGCAGCAG